CCUACGGGGGGCUGCAGUGAGGAAUAUUGGUCAAUGGACGAGAGUCUGAACCAGCCAAGUAGCGUGAAGGAUGACUGCCCUAUGGGUUGUAAACUUCUUUUAUAUGGGAAUAAAACGUUCCACGUGUGGGAUUUUGUAUGUACCAUAUGAAUAAGGAUCGGCUAACUCCGUGCCAGCAGCCGCGGUAAUACGGAGGAUCCGAGCGUUAUCCGGAUUUAUUGGGUUUAAAGGGAGCGUAGGUGGAUUGUUAAGUCAGUUGUGAAAGUUUGCGGCUCAACCGUAAAAUUGCAGUUGAAACUGGCAGUCUUGAGUACAGUAGAGGUAGGCGGAAUUCGUGGUGUAGCGGUGAAAUGCUUAGAGAUCACGAAGAACUCCGAUUGCGAAGGCAGUUCACUGGACUGCAACUGACACUGAGGCGCGAAAGUGUGGGUAUCAAACAGGAUUAGAUACCCGAGUAGUC
RNAcentral lists this ribosomal RNA (460 nucleotides) under uncultured bacterium. Its description in RNAcentral is "partial 16S ribosomal RNA". It matches the Rfam family "Bacterial small subunit ribosomal RNA", at positions 338 to 795 of the family's 1533-position model. The record is from RNAcentral.